AGAGCUUGGAGAUGACAAAUGAGGAAUUGAUUGAUCGAUGUAUAUUUCUUGGGGCGGGAAAAGCAGACGUUUGACAGCCUUUGUCAUAAAUCAGAUGCGUAAUCCGAGGCUUAUGAGAGCUUGUCAGAUGCGUAGGUGGAGGUAUGAGAGUUCAAACAGAAUUUUGAAUUUCCCGCUCCAGCACCUCUACAAAGAAACAACCCAGAUCGUUUCACUCACUGGUGGCCGCAACCCAACCCGUAGAAAUGGGGCAGCCCAUGGUAUGUGCUCCAGCUGCAACAGCGACUCCGGCUCCUUCUGCCGCGCCGGGGACAAAGAAAGUUCUCCACCCAAAAAUUCUAGAACACUUGAGGUACAAGAAGCUCUUGCAGCAAUACACUAAAAGAAGAUGUAUUCCACUGCCAAUAUACCAGACCAUCAAUGAAGGAUCUCAAGGCGCCCUACAGUUUAGAGCAACAAUAUUGGUAGAUGGAGUGAGUUAUACGUCUUUGUAUACUAUUUCUGAUCGAGAAGCAGCCGAAUGGAACGUUGCCAAACUAGCAUUGGAGGGCAUAUCUCAAAAGAUCAAGGAUGAAGGACGCCGUCUCAUUUGUGAGGUUUUCCUUUUUUCAACCACUCACAACAAAUAUGGAUUGCCUAAUCAUCUUGUUUGUGUAUAUCCUUUUCAAAAUUUUGGACGAGGUCACUGCUCAAUGCUUUCUUAAAAUAAGGUGCCAUGCAAGUCUACCCUUAAUGCUUUUGCUGUCAAGAUGAAUCUAGAAAUGCCUACUUACAACACCAUCAAGCAAAAGCGAAAAAGGUUGCUUCCUUUCAUAUCUUCUUUGGUUUUCAAUGGUGUAAGUUACAUUGGUGAAGCUGGUAGAAACGAGGGAGAAGCUGAAGUAUUGGCAGCACGCGCUGUUAUUCUCUAUCUUCUUGGUAGUUCAGAUCCGGGAACACUUCUUUUUUAGAUGAGCAAGCGUGAUGUCAAAUAUCAACAUGCUUUACUGCGUAAAGCCAAAUUUUAUGCUGCUCUGUAUACAGUGAAGUACACAUGCUAUUGCCAAAUGAGUGUUGUAUCACAAGGAAGGAGUAUAGGACAAAUUAGUGCUAUACCUCAAGGGGUAUAUGUAGGACAGCCUCCGAGUGAAGGUCCAAGUUCUACAAAAAAGCGCCACAAGAAUAAGAAAAAAUCUAAUAAGAAAUUGCGAUCUGACACUCAGUUGCCGGUUGCCGUGCCCAUGACUCAAGCCCCACCUACCUACAUACACAUUCCUGAUACUCCCCCCUACAUAAACAUCCCUGAUACUCCUCCUGAGCAACAAAGCUAGGUGGUUUGCUCCAUAUAAACUUUCUUAUGCAGAUCCCCAUGUAAAGGCGUUUUUGAUGUCCAACUAAAACAAAGGCCAAUCAAGGUUAGCAACAAUAGACAUCAACACUCGAACAGAGGAGAUCUUGGCAACCGGAGAAAAGGUCUCUUCAUAAUCUAUCCAUAGAGGUUUGCGUGUUCAGUAGCCCAAUUGACAAAGUGACUCUGUUUGUUUAGUGUGUGUAUAUUUAGUUAGUCCUUCAUCUUUGAUUCUGUUAGGCAUUAUGUGCUUUGUGUGUAAAAACUUUAUUUGGAUCUGACUGUUUUCUGCACAUUACUAUUGUGAAAGGCGUCACAUCAAGCUAAUAUUUCUAUUUUGUUCU
Molecule: non-coding RNA, 1671 nt
Organism: Corylus avellana
Lineage: Eukaryota; Viridiplantae; Streptophyta; Magnoliopsida; Fagales; Betulaceae
Source: RefSeq, a predicted model, not a curated record